AUUGAACGCUGGCGGCAUGCUUUACACAUGCAAGUCGAACGGCAGCGCGGGCUUCGGCCUGGCGGCGAGUGGCGAACGGGUGAGUAAUUCAUCGGAACGUGCCCAGUAGUGGGGGAUAGCCCGGCGAAAGCCGGAUUAAUACCGCAUACGACCUGAGGGUGAAAGCGGGGGACCGAAAGGCCUCGCUCUAUUGGAGCGGCCGAUGUCGGAUUAGCUAGUUGGUGGGGUAAAGGCUUACCAAGGCGACAAUCCGUAGCUGGUCUGAGAGGACGACCAGCCACACUGGGACUGAAACACGGCCCAGACUCCUACGGGAGGCAGCAGUGGGGAAUUUUGGACAAUGGGGGCAACCCUGAUCCAGCCAUGCCGCGUGCGGGAAGAAGGCCUUCGGGUUGUAAACCGCUUUUGUUCGGGAAGAAAUCCUCUGGGCUAAUACCCCGGGGGGAUGACGGUACCGGAAGAAUAAGCACCGGCUAACUACGUG
RNAcentral lists this ribosomal RNA (484 nucleotides) under uncultured bacterium. RNAcentral's name for it is "partial 16S ribosomal RNA". It matches the Rfam family "Bacterial small subunit ribosomal RNA", at positions 29 to 507 of the family's 1533-position model. The record is from RNAcentral.